UAGGGAAUAUUAGUAAUGGGCGAAAGCCUGAACUAGCAACGCCGCGUGUGCGAAGAUGGCCUUCGGGUUGUAAAGCACUUUUUGAGAGGAUGAGGAAGGACGGUACUCUCAGAAUAAGUCUCGGCUAACUACGUGCCAGCAGCCGCGGUAACACGUAGGAGGCGAACGUUAUCCGGAUUUACUGGGCGUAAAGCGCGUGUAGGUGGUUUGGUAAGUAGGGCGUGAAAGCUCCUGGCUCAACUGGGAGAGGCCGUUCUAAACUGCCAAACUAGAGGAUGGUAGAGGGAGGUGGAAUUCCGGCUGUAGCGGUGGAAUGCGCAGAUAUCCGGAGGAACACCAGUGGCGAAAGCGGCCCCUGGACCAUUCCUGACACUCAGACGCGAAAGCUAGGGUAGCAAACGG
This 402-nucleotide ribosomal RNA is filed under the name uncultured bacterium. RNAcentral describes it as "bacterial SSU rRNA". It matches the Rfam family "Bacterial small subunit ribosomal RNA", at positions 355 to 775 of the family's 1533-position model. The record is from RNAcentral.